CCUACGGGAGGCUGCAGUAGGGAAUAUUCCACAAUGGGGGAAACCCUGAUGGAGCGACGCCGCGUGGGUGAAGAAGUAUUUCGGUACGUAAAGCUCUAUCGUCAGAGAAGAAAAUGACGGUAACUGACUAAUAAGCCCCCGCUAACUACGUGCCAGCAGCCGCGGUAAUACGUAGGGGGCAAGCGUUAUACGGAUUUAAUGGGUGUAAAGGGAGCGUAGGCGGCAGCGCAAGUCUGGAGUGAAAUCCCAUGGCUUAACCAUGGUACUGCAUUGGAAACUGGGCAGCUAGAGUGCAGUAGAGGAGAGGGGAAUUCCUAGUGUAGCGGUGAAAUGCGUAGAUAUUAGGAAGAACACCAGUGGCGAAGGCGGCUUACUGGACUGUAACUGACGUUGAGGCUCGAAAGCGUGGGGAGCAAACAGGAUUAGAUACCCCAGUAGUC
RNAcentral lists this ribosomal RNA (440 nucleotides) under uncultured bacterium. Its description in RNAcentral is "partial 16S ribosomal RNA". It matches the Rfam family "Bacterial small subunit ribosomal RNA", at positions 338 to 795 of the family's 1533-position model. The record is from RNAcentral.